AGUCAUAUGCUUGUCUCAAAGAUUAAGCCAUGCAUGUCUAAGUAUAAACAACUUUAUACCGUGAAACUGCGUACAGCUCAUUAUAUCAGUAAUAAUUUAUUUGAUGGUUUCUUACUACAUGGAUACCCGUAGUAAUUCUAGAGCUAAUACAUGCGUCAAAACCAAACUCUUACGGGGAUGGUUGUAUUUAUUAGAUAAGGAUCAAUGCUUGUUCUGCAAGCUUUUUUGAUGACUCAUAAUAACUGUUCGAAUCGCAUGACCUCGGUCGGCGAUAGUUCAUUCAAAUUUCUGCCCUAUCAGCUUUCGACGGUAGUGUAGUGGACUACCGUGGCAUUUACGG
This 340-nucleotide ribosomal RNA is filed under the name uncultured eukaryote. Its description in RNAcentral is "bacterial SSU rRNA". It matches the Rfam family "Eukaryotic small subunit ribosomal RNA", at positions 22 to 358 of the family's 1831-position model. The record is from RNAcentral.